This 398-nucleotide ribosomal RNA is filed under the name uncultured bacterium. RNAcentral describes it as "bacterial SSU rRNA". It matches the Rfam family "Bacterial small subunit ribosomal RNA", at positions 28 to 428 of the family's 1533-position model. The record is from RNAcentral.
GACGAACGCUGGCGGCGUGCUUAACACAUGCAAGUCGAGCGGUAAGGCCCUUUCGGGGGUACACGAGCGGCGAACGGGUGAGUAACACGUGGGUGACCUGCCCUUAGCUCUGGGAUAAGCCUGGGAAACUGGGUCUAAUACCGGAUAUGACUCCAUGACGCAUGUUGUGGGGUGGAAAGCCUUGUGCGGCUAGGGAUGGGCCCGCGGCCUAUCAGCUUGUUGGUGGGGUGAUGGCCUACCAAGGCGACGACGGGUAGCCGGCCUGAGAGGGCGACCGGCCACACUGGGACUGAGACACGGCCCAGACUCCUACCGGGAGGCAGCAGUGGGGAAUCUUGCGCAAUGGGCGAAAGCCUGACGCAGCGACGCCGCGUGAGGGAUGACGGCCUCGGUUGUAA